AGGAGGCGGUUAUCGGAUUACUGGGCGUAAGCGCGCGUAGGCGGUUUAUUAAGUCAGAUGUGAAUGACCAGGAUCAACCUGGGAAUUGCAUUUGAGACUGGUUCGCUAGAGUGUGGUAGAGGUGAGUGGAAUUUCAGGUGUAGCGGUGAAAUGCGUAGAGAUCUGAAGGAACAUCAGUGGCGAAGGCGACUCACUGGGCCAUUACUGACGCUGAGGUGCGAAAGCGUGGGUAGCAAACAGGAUUAGAUACCCUGGUAGUCCACGCCCUAAACGAUGUCAACUAGGUGUAUGGAGAAUUUAUUCUUUGUGUAUCGAAGCUAACGCGAUAAGUUGACCGCCUGGGGAGUACGGUCGCAAGACUAAAACUCAAAUGAAUUGACGGGGGCCCGCACAAGCGGUGGAGCAUGUGGUUUAAUUCGAUGCAACGCGAAGAACCUUACCUGGCCUUGACAUGUACGGAAGAUUGAAGAGAUUCGAUUGUGCCUUCGGGAACCG
Molecule: ribosomal RNA, 495 nt
Filed under: uncultured Methylophaga sp.
Lineage: Bacteria; Pseudomonadati; Pseudomonadota; Gammaproteobacteria; Thiotrichales; Piscirickettsiaceae
Description: bacterial SSU rRNA
Rfam family: Bacterial small subunit ribosomal RNA
Source: RNAcentral